This 1151-nucleotide ribosomal RNA is filed under the name uncultured bacterium. RNAcentral's name for it is "bacterial SSU rRNA". It matches the Rfam family "Bacterial small subunit ribosomal RNA", at positions 277 to 1426 of the family's 1533-position model. The record is from RNAcentral.
CGAUGGAUAGGGGUUCUGAGAGGAAGGUCCCCCCACAUUGGAACUGAGACACGGUCCAAACUCCUACGGGAGGCAGCAGUGAGGAAUAUUGGUCAAUGGACGAGAGUCUGAACCAUCCAAGUAGCGUGAAGGAUGAAGGUUCUAUGGAUUGUAAACUUCUUUUAUACGGGAAUAAACGAAUCCACGUGUGGAUUUUUGCAUGUACCGUAUGAAUAAGGAUCGGCUAACUCCGUGCCAGCAGCCGCGGUAAUACGGAGGAUCCGAGCGUUAUCCGGAUUUAUUGGGUUUAAAGGGAGCGUAGAUGGGUUGUUAAGUCAGUUGUGAAAGUUUGCGGCUCAACCGUAAAAUUGCAAUUGAUACUGGCAGUCUUGAGUACAGUUGAGGUAGGCGGAAUUCGUGGUGUAGCGGUGAAAUGCUUAGAUAUCACGAAGAACUCCGAUUGCGAAGGCAGCUUACUAACCUGUAACUGACAUUGAUGCUCGAAAGUGUGGGUAUCAAACAGGAUUAGAUACCCUGGUAGUCCACACGGUAAACGAUGAAUACUCGCUGUAGGCGAUAUACAGUCUGCGGCCAAGCGAAAGCAUUAAGUAUUCCACCUGGGGAGUACGCCGGCAACGGUGAAACUCAAAGGAAUUGACGGGGGCCCGCACAAGCGGAGGAACAUGUGGUUUAAUUCGAUGAUACGCGAGGAACCUUACCCGGGCUUAAAUUGCAACCGAAUAUGGCGGAAACGCUAUAGCUAGCAAUAGCGGUUGUGAAGGUGCUGCAUGGUUGUCGUCAGCUCGUGCCGUGAGGUGUCGGCUUAAGUGCCAUAACGAGCGCAACCCUUGCCGAUAGUUACUAACAGGUUAUGCUGAGGACUCUGUCGGGACUGCCAUCGUAAGAUGUGAGGAAGGUGGGGAUGACGUCAAAUCAGCACGGCCCUUACGUCCGGGGCUACACACGUGUUACAAUGGGGGGUACAGAGGGCUGCUACCACGCAAGUGGAUGCCAAUCCCAAAAACCUCUCUCAGUUCGGAUUGAAGUCUGCAACCCGACUUCAUGAAGCUGGAUUCGCUAGUAAUCGCGCAUCAGCCACGGCGCGGUGAAUACGUUCCCGGGCCUUGUACACACCGAAGGGCGAAUUCCAGCACACUGGCGGCCGUUACUAG